Molecule: transfer RNA, 56 nt
Filed under: Microtrichalus sp. BM0179
Lineage: Eukaryota; Metazoa; Arthropoda; Insecta; Coleoptera; Lycidae
Description: partial tRNA-Ser
Source: RNAcentral
AAAGAAAUAUUUUAAAAAAAAGCUUCUAACUUUUCUAAAAGCAUUAAUAUGUUUAU